GAUUAAGUUAUUAAGGGCGCACGGUGGAUGCCUUGGCACUAGAAGCCGAUGAAGGACGUUACUAACGACGAUAUGCUUUGGGGAGCUGUAAGUAAGCUUUGAUCCAGAGAUUUCCGAAUGGGGAAACCCAGCAUGAGUUAUGUCAUGUUAUCGAUAUGUGAAUACAUAGCAUAUCAGAAGGCACACCCGGAGAACUGAAACAUCUUAGUACCCGGAGGAAGAGAAAGAAAAUUCGAUUCCCUUAGUAGCGGCGAGCGAAACGGGAAGAGCCCAAACCAACAAGCUUGCUUGUUGGGGUUGUAGGACACUCUAUACGGAGUUACAAAGGACGACAUUAGACGAAUCAUCUGGAAAGAUGAAUCAAAGAAGGUAAUAAUCCUGUAGUCGAAAAUGUUGUCUCUCUUGAGUGGAUCCUGAGUACGACGGAGCACGUGAAAUUCCGUCGGAAUCUGGGAGGACCAUCUCCUAAGGCUAAAUACUCUCUAGUGACCGAUAGUGAACCAGUACCGUGAGGGAAAGGUGAAAAGCACCCCGGAAGGGGAGUGAAAUAGAACCUGAAACCGUGUGCUUACAAGUAGUCAGAGCCCGUUAAUGGGUGAUGGCGUGCCUUU
Molecule: ribosomal RNA, 611 nt
Filed under: Staphylococcus aureus
Lineage: Bacteria; Bacillati; Bacillota; Bacilli; Caryophanales; Staphylococcaceae
Description: partial 23S ribosomal RNA
Rfam family: Bacterial large subunit ribosomal RNA
Source: RNAcentral